This 971-nucleotide ribosomal RNA is filed under the name Staphylococcus aureus. RNAcentral describes it as "partial 23S ribosomal RNA". It matches the Rfam family "Bacterial large subunit ribosomal RNA", at positions 545 to 1521 of the family's 2925-position model. Lineage: Bacteria; Bacillati; Bacillota; Bacilli; Caryophanales; Staphylococcaceae. The record is from RNAcentral.
AGAACCUGAAACCGUGUGCUUACAAGUAGUCAGAGCCCGUUAAUGGGUGAUGGCGUGCCUUUUGUAGAAUGAACCGGCGAGUUACGAUUUGAUGCAAGGUUAAGCAGUAAAUGUGGAGCCGUAGCGAAAGCGAGUCUGAAUAGGGCGUUUAGUAUUUGGUCGUAGACCCGAAACCAGGUGAUCUACCCUUGGUCAGGUUGAAGUUCAGGUAACACUGAAUGGAGGACCGAACCGACUUACGUUGAAAAGUGAGCGGAUGAACUGAGGGUAGCGGAGAAAUUCCAAUCGAACCUGGAGAUAGCUGGUUCUCUCCGAAAUAGCUUUAGGGCUAGCCUCAAGUGAUGAUUAUUGGAGGUAGAGCACUGUUUGGACGAGGGGCCCCUCUCGGGUUACCGAAUUCAGACAAACUCCGAAUGCCAAUUAAUUUAACUUGGGAGUCAGAACAUGGGUGAUAAGGUCCGUGUUCGAAAGGGAAACAGCCCAGACCACCAGCUAAGGUCCCAAAAUAUAUGUUAAGUGGAAAAGGAUGUGGCGUUGCCCAGACAACUAGGAUGUUGGCUUAGAAGCAGCCAUCAUUUAAAGAGUGCGUAAUAGCUCACUAGUCGAGUGACACUGCGCCGAAAAUGUACCGGGGCUAAACAUAUUACCGAAGCUGUGGAUUGUCCUUUGGACAAUGGUAGGAGAGCGUUCUAAGGGCGUUGAAGCAUGAUCGCAAGGACAUGUGGAGCGCUUAGAAGUGAGAAUGCCGGUGUGAGUAGCGAAAGACGGGUGAGAAUCCCGUCCACCGAUUGACUAAGGUUUCCAGAGGAAGGCUCGUCCGCUCUGGGUUAGUCGGGUCCUAAGCUGAGGCCGACAGGCGUAGGCGAUGGAUAACAGGUUGAUAUUCCUGUACCACCUAUAAUCGUUUUAAUCGAUGGGGGGACGCAGUAGGAUAGGCGAAGCGUGCGAUUGGAUUGCACGUCUAAGCAGUA